UUAAAAAGAGGAGGAUUAUCCAUGGACCAGUCACUGUUCAGGGACACACAGCUGGGUUCAGGUCCAGACGAGUCUAGACUCUGAUGGAUACUGACAGAAAAACAGCAGAAACACAAUUAAAGAUCAGAAAACAUGAUCAUCAAUAAUGUUUGAAACCAGUGGCAGCUGGUCACUAGAGGGCGAUAUGACACAGCCCCCUCAAAAUACUGAGUUAAAUAAAAUCUACAACAUAAUGAAUGAAUCAGAAAUAAGUCUGGUUUGUUCAAAGUCAGAGUCUGUCCAGGGUUCUCCCCAGA
Thalassophryne amazonica is the source of this 296-nucleotide long non-coding RNA. RefSeq lists it as uncharacterized. The transcript is spliced from 3 exons. The record is from RefSeq and is a predicted model, not a curated record. Lineage: Eukaryota; Metazoa; Chordata; Actinopteri; Batrachoidiformes; Batrachoididae.